GACAUCAUAUUCAGUUCAUGCACUUCAUCCCAUCAGAUUUAGAUUUUAUCCAGCUUUUCUGCCUUGACAACAGGGUUGGCUUUAGCUAUCGCAUCCCGUGCAGCAGUGCGAUAAUCAAAAGGGCAGUCAUGUUUGUCUGAGUAGCGGUGUGUUGCACAGAAAAGGUGACCGCAUCGACAAUUGAAUCCUGUCAAACCAACUCGUUUCUUGCAGGUGCUGCACCGGUUUGGACCCUCCUUUGGCUUGGCCUCGCCACUCCCCUCAGAGCCAAAAGAAAAGGAUGACUGCACAGAAAUGAUCUUUGGCUCCUUUGCAUCAACUUGCACAUCCACAGUGGAUGCAAUAGCAGGUUCCUUUCCAUUGUUGCUUGACGAUCCAUUAACAAUGCUGUCUAUGGAUGAUGCAGCAAGUUUAGCCUGCUCUUGUUUCAACAUCAUAUCUUUGUGGCACUUGGAACACAUGUUCAUAGUUGCCGGGCUUCCAAAGAACCCACAAUUGUUUAUGCACAAAAUGGGACCCUCUGGAUGAGCUUGGCAUCCAGUCUCAUCAUGAUCC
This 555-nucleotide long non-coding RNA is filed under the name Vitis vinifera (wine grape). RNAcentral describes it as "long non-coding RNA (VVIN_LNC001683)". Lineage: Eukaryota; Viridiplantae; Streptophyta; Magnoliopsida; Vitales; Vitaceae. The record is from RNAcentral.